CAAUAGCGUAUAUUUAAGUUGUUGCAGUUAAAAAGCUCGUAGUUGGAUUUCGGAUGGGAUUUGCCGGUCCGUCGUUACGAUGUGCACUGGCCAGUCCUAUCUUGUUGUCGGGGACUAGCUCCUUGGAUUCACUUCCUGGGACUAGGAGCUGACGAGGUUACUUUGAGUAAAUUAGAGUGUUCAAAGCAAGCCUACGCUCUGAAUACAUUAGCAUGGAAUAACACGAUAGGACUCUGGCUUAUCUUGUUGGUCUGUGAGACCAGAGUAAUGAUUAAGAGGGACAGUCGGGGACAUUCGUAUUUCAUUGUCAGAGGUGAAAUUCUUGGAUUUAUGAAAGACGAACUUCUGCGAAAGCAUUUGCCAAGAAUGUUUUCAUUAA
RNAcentral lists this ribosomal RNA (379 nucleotides) under uncultured eukaryote. Its description in RNAcentral is "partial 18S ribosomal RNA". It matches the Rfam family "Eukaryotic small subunit ribosomal RNA", at positions 592 to 976 of the family's 1831-position model. The record is from RNAcentral.